Molecule: ribosomal RNA, 301 nt
Filed under: uncultured bacterium
Lineage: Bacteria
Description: partial 16S ribosomal RNA
Rfam family: Bacterial small subunit ribosomal RNA
Source: RNAcentral
CAGCCGCCACGGUAAAACGUAGGGUGCAAGCGUUAAUCGGAAUUACUGGGCGUAAAGCGUGCGCAGGCGGUUUGUUAAGACAGAUGUGAAAUCCCCGGGCUCAACCUGGGAACUGCAUUUGUGAUUGGCAAGCUAGAGUGUGGCAGAGGGGGGUGGAAUUCCGCGUGUAGCAGUGAAAUGCGUAGAUAUUCGGAAGAACACCAGUGGCGAAGGCGACAUACUGGUCCGUUACUGACGCUGAGGCUCGAAAGCGUGGGGAGCAAACAGGAUUAGAGACCCCGGUAGUCCCUGUCUCUUAUAC